GAUGAACGCUGGCGGCGUGCCUAAUACAUGCAAGUCGAGCGAACAGACGAGGAGCUUGCUCCUUUGACGUUAGCGGCGGACGGGUGAGUAACACGUGGGUAACCUACCUAUAAGACUGAGAUAACUUCGGGAAACCGGAGCUAAUACCGGAUAAUAUUUCGAACCGCAUGGUUCGAUAGUGAAAGAUGGCUUUGCUAUCACUUAUAGAUGGACCUGCGCCGUAUUAGCUAGUUGGUAAGGUAACGGCUUACCAAGGCAACGAUACGUAGCCGACCUGAGAGGGUGAUCGGCCACACUGGAACUGAGACACGGUCCAGACUCCUACGGGAGGCAGCAGUAGGGAAUCUUCCGCAAUGGGCGAAAGCCUGACGGAGCAACGCCGCGUGAGUGAUGAAGGUCUUCGGAUCGUAAAACUCUGUUAUUAGGGAAGAAUAAACGUGUAAGUAACUGUGCACGUCUUGACGGUACCUAAUCAGAAAGCCACGGCUAACUACGUG
This 497-nucleotide ribosomal RNA is filed under the name uncultured bacterium. RNAcentral describes it as "partial 16S ribosomal RNA". It matches the Rfam family "Bacterial small subunit ribosomal RNA", at positions 28 to 507 of the family's 1533-position model. The record is from RNAcentral.